CGUAGGGCUCCUCUGCAGAGCUCUGCUCUCUACUGCUCUGAUUCUUAGGACAAUGUCAGGAAUUCCAGCUCCUCUAUCUCAGGUUCUGCUAUAUUGUAGAUCUCAAAAGGUUCUAAAGGCAAAGGUCAUUACACCACGGAUGAGCUGAAAAUUACACCCAGCUGCAAGGAAAGAUGCUGCCCAGGGAACUUCAGCUGCCCAGAAGAGAGACUAAAUUACUGGUGCUUUUAAUAUUCAUCUUUCUUCUUUGUCACUCAGGGCCAAUGAUCCAAACCACAUCCAUUGCACUGAGUUCAAAGAUGGUCUCAGCGUUACAGGGUGAAACGGUGAAAGCAGUCUGUGCGCAGAACAUCGAAGAAACGGAAGGGUUCGCUAUAACUCUGAGAAGAAAUGGCAGCUCUGCUGAGCUGUGUUAUACACAGCUUGGAAAUUUCACCAUUUGGAGCAGAAAUUGCACAGAGCGUAUAAACCUAGAAUACAAUAAGCUGACAAAAGGGUUUUAUGUUGUUAUGGAGAGCGUCUCUGUCAAAGAUUCUGGUGUUUACAGCUGCACCUUGGACAAGACACUUCCCCCUCCUGUGAGAACGCAAAGCCAGUCUAACAUUUCCCUCACAGUGUCAGGUGAGCCAGGAGUUCCCUGUGUUCCAAAUAUCCUAAAUGCUGCAGUGCUCUGAUAUGCGGGUGGAAGGACAGGUUGAAAAGCUUGUGUGACAUUCACUGCUGUAGAGUGUGGGCUAUUUUGUGAUGACUUAGCUCUGUAGUGACAAUCUGAGCCAGUAUGGUUACUGAGAUGGUU
This 796-nucleotide long non-coding RNA is filed under the name Gopherus agassizii (Agassiz's desert tortoise). RNAcentral describes it as "lncRNA (ENSGAGG00000013881.1)". Lineage: Eukaryota; Metazoa; Chordata; Testudines; Testudinidae. The record is from RNAcentral.